Molecule: ribosomal RNA, 437 nt
Filed under: uncultured bacterium
Lineage: Bacteria
Description: bacterial SSU rRNA
Rfam family: Bacterial small subunit ribosomal RNA
Source: RNAcentral
GAUGAACGCUGGCGGCGUGCCUAACACAUGCAAGUCGAGCGAUUCUYUUYGGAGAAGAGCGGCGGACGGGUGAGUAACGCGUGGGUAACCUACCCUGUACACACGGAUAACAUACCGAAAGGUAUGMUAAUACGGGAUGAUAUAUAGAAAUCGCAUGAUUUUUAUAUCAAAGAUUUAUCGGUACAGGAUGGACCCGCGUMUGAUUAGCUUGUUGGCGGGGUAMCGGCCCACCAAGGCGACGAUCAGUAGCCGACCUGAGAGGGUGAUCGGCCACAUUGGAACUGAGACACGGUCCAAACUCCUACGGGAGGCAGCAGUGGGGAAUAUUGCACAAUGGGCGCAAGCCUGAUGCAGCAACGCCGCGUGAGCGAUGAAGGCCUUCGGGUMGUAAAKCUYUGUCCUCAAGGAAGAUAAUGACGGUACUGAGAUUAAGCCCC